Molecule: ribosomal RNA, 497 nt
Filed under: uncultured bacterium
Lineage: Bacteria
Description: partial 16S ribosomal RNA
Rfam family: Bacterial small subunit ribosomal RNA
Source: RNAcentral
GAUGAACGCUGGCGGCGUGCCUAAGACAUGCAAGUCGAGCGAACGGACGAGAAGCUUGCUUCUCUGAUGUUAGCGGCGGACGGGUGAGUAACACGUGGAUAACCUACCUAUAAGACUGGGAUAACUUCGGGAAACCGGAGCUAAUACCGGAUAAUAUUUUGAACCGCAUGGUUCAAAAGUGAAAGACGGUCUUGCCGUCACUUAUAGAUGGAUCCGCGCUGCAUUAGCUAGUUGGUAAGGUAACGGCUUACCAAGGCAACGAUGCAUAGCCGACCUGAGAGGGUGAUCGGCCACACUGGAACUGAGACACGGUCCAGACUCCUACGGGAGGCAGCAGUAGGGAAUCUUCCGCAAUGGGCGAAAGCCUGACGGAGCAACGCCGCGUGAGUGAUGAAGGUCUUCGGAUCGUAAAACUCUGUUAUUAGGGAAGAACAUAUGUGUAAGUAACUGUGCACAUCUUGACGGUACCUAAUCAGAAAGCCACGGCUAACUACGUG